UACGUAGGGUCCGAGCGUUGUCCGGAAUUAUUGGGCGUAAAGAGCUCGUAGGCGGUCCGUUAAGUCGGAAGUGAAAUCUCAAGGCUCAACCUUGAAAUCGCUUUCGAUACUGGCGGACUUGAGGCAGGUAGGGGAAGGUGGAAUUCCUGGUGUAGCGGUGAAAUGCGCAGAUAUCAGGAGGAACACCGGUGGCGAAGGCGGCCUUCUGGGCCUGUUCUGACGCUGAGGAGCGAAAGCGUGGGGAGCAAAC
This 250-nucleotide ribosomal RNA is filed under the name uncultured Nitriliruptoria bacterium. RNAcentral's name for it is "partial 16S ribosomal RNA". It matches the Rfam family "Bacterial small subunit ribosomal RNA", at positions 524 to 773 of the family's 1533-position model. The record is from RNAcentral. Lineage: Bacteria; Bacillati; Actinomycetota; Nitriliruptoria.